This 24-nucleotide microRNA is filed under the name Ananas comosus (pineapple). RNAcentral describes it as "microRNA s0321_c103". Lineage: Eukaryota; Viridiplantae; Streptophyta; Magnoliopsida; Poales; Bromeliaceae. The record is from RNAcentral.
CAUAUCCCUAUCCUGAACGACCCC